Molecule: non-coding RNA, 101 nt
Organism: Chiloscyllium plagiosum (whitespotted bambooshark)
Lineage: Eukaryota; Metazoa; Chordata; Chondrichthyes; Orectolobiformes; Hemiscylliidae
Source: RefSeq, a predicted model, not a curated record
AACAGUACAAAUUGCAAGGGGUUUUUUUGGGAUAUACUGUGCAUUUUGUAAUUACCUUACCUGGUAAUUAGACAAAGCACCCACCUAUAGGUGUAUAAAUA